RNAcentral lists this transfer RNA (77 nucleotides) under Burkholderia sp. Bp8998. RNAcentral describes it as "tRNA-Met". It matches the Rfam family "tRNA". Rfam says of the family: Transfer RNA (tRNA) molecules are approximately 80 nucleotides in length. The record is from RNAcentral. Lineage: Bacteria; Pseudomonadati; Pseudomonadota; Betaproteobacteria; Burkholderiales; Burkholderiaceae.
GGGCCCGUAGCUCAGUUGGUUAGAGCAGUCGACUCAUAAUCGAUUGGUCGUCGGUUCAAGUCCGGCCAGGCCCACCA